This 465-nucleotide ribosomal RNA is filed under the name uncultured bacterium. Its description in RNAcentral is "partial 16S ribosomal RNA". It matches the Rfam family "Bacterial small subunit ribosomal RNA", at positions 29 to 507 of the family's 1533-position model. The record is from RNAcentral.
AAUGAACGUUGGCGGCGUGGAUUAGGCAUGCAAGUCGAGCGAGAACCCCGCAAGGGGGGACAGCGGCGAAAGGGACAGUACUGUGUAGAUUAUCUGCCCUCAGGUCCGGGAUAGCUGCGGGAAACUGCAGGUAAUACCGGAUAACAUCUCCGGAUCAAAGGUGUGAUUCCGCCUGAGGAUGAGUCUGCAUCCUAUUAGCUAGUUGGUGGGGUAAUGGCCUACCAAGGCAUUGAUGGGUAGCAGGUGUGAGAGCACGACCUGCGUCAUUGGGACUGAGACACUGCCCAGACACCUACGGGUGGCUGCAGGCGAGAAUCUUCGGCAAUGGGCGCAAGCCUGACCGAGCGACGCCGCGUGUGGGAUGAAGGCCUUCGGGUUGUAAACCACUGUCAGAGGGGAUGAAAUGCAGGUGGGUUCUCCCAUCUGUUUGACAUAGCCUCAGAGGAAGGACGGGCUAAGUUCGUG